RNAcentral lists this ribosomal RNA (833 nucleotides) under Sulcacis nitidus. RNAcentral's name for it is "SSU rRNA". It matches the Rfam family "Eukaryotic small subunit ribosomal RNA", at positions 120 to 893 of the family's 1831-position model. The record is from RNAcentral. Lineage: Eukaryota; Metazoa; Arthropoda; Insecta; Coleoptera; Ciidae.
UUAGAUCGUACCCACACUUACUUGGAUAACUGUGGUAAUUCUAGAGCUAAUACAUGCAAACAGAGCUCCGACCGGAGACGGAAGGAGCGCUUUUAUUAGAUCAAAACCGAUCGGUGGUGGAUUUACUCCAUCAUCGUACAACUUGGUGAAUCUGAAUAACUUUAAGCUGAUCGCACGGUCUUGCACCGGCGACGCAUCUUUCAAAUGUCUGCCUUAUCAACUGUCGAUGGUAGGUUCUGCGCCUACCAUGGUUGUAACGGGUAACGGGGAAUCAGGGUUCGAUUCCGGAGAGGGAGCCUGAGAAACGGCUACCACAUCCAAGGAAGGCAGCAGGCGCGCAAAUUACCCACUCCCGGCACGGGGAGGUAGUGACGAAAAAUAACGAUACGGGACUCAUCCGAGGCCCCGUAAUCGGAAUGAGUACACUCUAAACCCUUUAACGAGGAUCAAUUGGAGGGCAAGUCUGGUGCCAGCAGCCGCGGUAAUUCCAGCUCCAAUAGCGUAUAUUAAAGUUGUUGCGGUUAAAAAGCUCGUAGUCGAAUCUGUGUCUCGCACCGCCGGUUCAUCGUUCGCGGUGUUAACUGGCGUGCCGCGGGACGUCCUGCCGGUGGGCUUAGCUCGAGAGGGCGGUCCAAAUCAAUCCUGCCGCGGUGCUCUUCAUUGAGUGUCGAGGUGGGCCGGCACGUUUACUUUGAACAAAUUAGAGUGCUUAAAGCAGGCUAAAAUUUCGCCUGAAUACUGUGUGCAUGGAAUAAUGGAAUAGGACCUCGGUUCUAUUUUGUUGGUUUUCGGAACCCCGAGGUAAUGAUUAAUAGGAACGGAUGGGGGCAUUC